This 160-nucleotide ribosomal RNA is filed under the name Leccinum roseofractum. Its description in RNAcentral is "5.8S ribosomal RNA". It matches the Rfam family "5.8S ribosomal RNA". Rfam says of the family: 5.8S ribosomal RNA (5.8S rRNA) is a component of the large subunit of the eukaryotic ribosome. It is transcribed by RNA polymerase I as part of the 45S precursor that also contains 18S and 28S rRNA. Lineage: Eukaryota; Fungi; Basidiomycota; Agaricomycetes; Boletales; Boletaceae. The record is from RNAcentral.
CAACUUUCAGCAAUGGAUCUCUUGGUUCUCGCAUCGAUGAAAGAACCGCAGCGAAUCGCGAUAAGUAAUGUGAAUUGCAGAUUUUCAGUGAAUCAUCGAAUCUUUGAACGCACCUUGCGCCCCUUGGUACUCCGAGGGGCAUGCCUGUUUGAGUGUCAUU